AGUGAACGCUGGCGGUAGGCCUAACACAUGCAAGUCGAACGGCAGCACGGUAAGAGCUUGCUCUUACGGGUGGCGAGUGGCGGACGGGUGAGGAAUACAUCGGAAUCUACUUUUUCGUGGGGGAUAACGUAGGGAAACUUACGCUAAUACCGCAUACGACCUACGGGUGAAAGCAGGGGAUCUUCGGACCUUGCGCGAUUGAAUGAGCCGAUGUCGGAUUAGCUAGUUGGCGGGGUAAAGGCCCACCAAGGCGACGAUCCGUAGCUGGUCUGAGAGGAUGAUCAGCCACACUGGAAUGGAGACACGGUCCAGACCCCUACGGGAGGCAGCAGUGGGGAAUAUUGGACAAUGGGCGCAAGCAUGAUCCAGCCAUACCGCGUGGGUGAAGAAGGCCUUCGGGUUGUAAAGCCCUUUUGUUGGGAAAGAAAAGCAGCAGGUUAAUACCCCGCUGUUCUGACGGUACCCAAAGAAUAAGCACCGGCUAACUUCGUG
This 492-nucleotide ribosomal RNA is filed under the name uncultured bacterium. RNAcentral describes it as "partial 16S ribosomal RNA". It matches the Rfam family "Bacterial small subunit ribosomal RNA", at positions 29 to 507 of the family's 1533-position model. The record is from RNAcentral.